This is a non-coding RNA of Dipodomys ordii (Ord's kangaroo rat), 65 nucleotides long. The record is from Rfam. Lineage: Eukaryota; Metazoa; Chordata; Mammalia; Rodentia; Heteromyidae.
GGUGGCUUAGUGGUAGAGUGCUUGCCUAGCAUGCAUGAAGUCCUGGGUUCAAUUCCUCAGUACCA